Hemibagrus wyckioides is the source of this 502-nucleotide long non-coding RNA. RefSeq lists it as uncharacterized. The transcript has 2 exons. NCBI's taxonomy places the organism in Eukaryota, Metazoa, Chordata, Actinopteri, Siluriformes, Bagridae. The record is from RefSeq and is a predicted model, not a curated record.
CAGCGACCAGCUCUAUACAUGAUGGAGAAGAGAAUCCUGAAGGAGCUGCUGCACACUACCAGUACAGCUUGGCAAGACAAGGACAAAGCUGAAGACACGAUCCAAGCUGAAGUCGUGAAUUAUCAUGUAUAUUUGAAGUGAAGGGGAAACUGAGAGGUAAAUUGUCCAGGCUGCUGCUUUAGGGUGAGUUAAUAAUGUGUGUGUGUGUGUGUGUGUUGCAAUGACGUGUGAUUAUAAGCAGUGUACACUGCAACACCUAGGCUGUAAGAAAGCUGUGAAUAAUGUGGAGAGGCCUAGAUGUCCUUGCACUGUAACAGUUAACCCUUUGGAAGCUGUAUUUACCUUUCUCUGAUAUAUCAUCGUGGCUCAAAACUUGUCCAUAGGUCUGCAGUUUCUUCACAAUUUUCUGAUAAAUCUUCACAUCCUGCCUUCCUCCCCUGAUACUCCCACAAAAAUAUAUAUUCAUCCUGUGGAGUCUUAACAAAAACGGAAGAAAUGAAAA